ACAAUGGUGGUUCAGUGGUAGAUUUCUCACCUUCUGUAUGGGAGACCCAGGUUCGAUUUCUGGCUAGUGCA
This 71-nucleotide transfer RNA is filed under the name Loxodonta africana (African savanna elephant). It matches the Rfam family "tRNA". From Rfam's summary of the family: Transfer RNA (tRNA) molecules are approximately 80 nucleotides in length. Their secondary structure includes four short double-helical elements and three loops (D, anti-codon, and T loops). The record is from Rfam by way of RNAcentral. Lineage: Eukaryota; Metazoa; Chordata; Mammalia; Proboscidea; Elephantidae.